Molecule: long non-coding RNA, 845 nt
Filed under: Nicotiana benthamiana
Lineage: Eukaryota; Viridiplantae; Streptophyta; Magnoliopsida; Solanales; Solanaceae
Description: long non-coding RNA (NBEN_LNC025246)
Source: RNAcentral
AGACAGCAAAGACAGUAGUAAGCCCUGAUAAGGAAGAAGAUUCGAUUCUAAGGCAUUUAUUCUAGCUGAUAAAGUAGUUGAUUCUAGAGUAUGGUUCUGAGGGAUUAGGAAGAGCUAGGAGGAUUUAGCCCAGAGGAGAAGAGAGGAUCCGAUUCUCGCUUUGCCCCCGAAAGAGUCAGAAUCCAUUCUGACUUCCAGGCCAUUUCAUUCAACUGAAGCUAAUUCUACUGCUACUGUAAGAGUUCCGGGUGAAGUUCAUAGAAAGAGGUUUUCAUAGGACCUAAUUCCAAGGUAUUAGGAAGAUCUUCUACGGGACUCAGAAAUCCGUAGUUGUAGUUUCUAUACGUCAAAAUCCAAUCUCGCUUCCAUUCAUCAUCCAUUCAGAGGAAAAAUUCUUGAAUAAUAGGCUAAGAAUAGUCUUAUAAGUCCUUUUCCGUUAUGUAUGCUCCAGUAAGAAAGUCCCUUACUUCGGCUAGUAAGGAGUUUCAUUUUAGGUAAGCAAGCUGCAGCGCGAGUACCCUUCUUUUUACUUUUGCUGCAAUAGAGGAGAUUUCCAUUGGACUAGUUAAAAGACUUAGAUAACACACCGGGUUUAUAUAAGAAAAAGUUCACGUAGAGAAAAGAGAUUAGACUAGUCAUUGCACUAGUAGCGUUUACGAGCCUCCCGCUUAUUUAUUAUCUUUCUUUGAUUCCAGAUCAAAGAUUAAUUUCAUCUAUAUUAUAUUAAUUUCUAUCUAGAUUAUAUAUCUAUAUUAUAUUAAGUAGAUUGUAGAUUUCGAUGUAUAUCUAUCAGAUCAUGGCUUCAUGUACCAAAUAUUUCAAUAUUAUUGCAUCCGGUAUUUUUG